UACGGAGGGGGCUAGCGUUGUUCGGAAAUACUGGGCGUAAAGCGAACGUAGGCGGCUUGGCAAGUCAGGGGUGAAACCCCAGUGCUCAACACUGGAACUGCCUUUGAAACUGCCAGGCUUGAAUCCUGGAGAGGCGAGUGGAAUUCCGAGUGUAGAGGUGAAAUUCGUAGAUAUUCGGAAGAACACCAGUGGCGAAGGCGACUCGCUGGACAGGUAUUGACGCUGAGGUUCGAAAGCGUGGGGAGCAAACAGG
Molecule: ribosomal RNA, 253 nt
Filed under: uncultured bacterium
Lineage: Bacteria
Description: partial 16S ribosomal RNA
Rfam family: Bacterial small subunit ribosomal RNA
Source: RNAcentral